CUUGACCUCGGAUCAGGUAGGGAUACCCGCUGAACUUAAGCAUAUCAAUAAGCGGAGGA
Molecule: ribosomal RNA, 59 nt
Filed under: Plenodomus lingam (blackleg of rapeseed fungus)
Lineage: Eukaryota; Fungi; Ascomycota; Dothideomycetes; Pleosporales; Leptosphaeriaceae
Also listed under: 10 other names
Description: Leptosphaeria maculans (blackleg of rapeseed fungus) partial 28S ribosomal RNA
Rfam family: Eukaryotic large subunit ribosomal RNA
Source: RNAcentral